This 194-nucleotide ribosomal RNA is filed under the name uncultured bacterium. RNAcentral's name for it is "partial 16S ribosomal RNA". It matches the Rfam family "Bacterial small subunit ribosomal RNA", at positions 334 to 524 of the family's 1533-position model. The record is from RNAcentral.
UACUCCUACGGGAGGCAGCAGUGAGGAAUAUUGGUCAAUGGGCGGAAGCCUGAACCAGCCAAGUAGCGUGCAGGAUGACGGCCCUAUGGGUUGUAAACUGCUUUUAUACAGGAAUAAAGUUAGCCACGUGUGGUUAUUUGUAGGUACUGUAUGAAUAAGGACCGGCUAAUUCCGUGCCAGCGAGCCGCGGUAAU